RNAcentral lists this ribosomal RNA (253 nucleotides) under uncultured bacterium. Its description in RNAcentral is "partial 16S ribosomal RNA". It matches the Rfam family "Bacterial small subunit ribosomal RNA", at positions 524 to 776 of the family's 1533-position model. The record is from RNAcentral.
UACGGGGGGGGCAAGCGUUGUUCGGAAUUACUGGGCGUAAAGGGUUCGUAGGCGGUCAACUAAGUCAGACGUGAAAUCCCUCGGCUUAACCGGGGAACUGCGUCUGAUACUGGAUGGCUUGAGAUUGGGAGAGGGAUGCGGAAUUCCAGGUGUAGCGGUGAAAUGCGUAGAUAUCUGGAGGACCACCGGUGGCGAAGGCGGCAUCCUGGACCAACACUGACGCUGAGGAGCGAAAGCCAGGGGAGCAAACGGG